GUAGAUAUGUAUAGGGGACAGGGAUACUGGAGUGAUAGAGGUAGAUAUGUAUAGGGGGAAGGGGACAGGGAUACUGGAGUGAUGGAGGUAGAUAUGUAUAGGGGGAAGGGGACAGGGAUACUGGAGUGAUGGAGGUAGAUAUGUAUAGGGGUAAGGUGACAAAAUACAGGGUCAGUACCAUAUUAACAAUGUACAGGGAUACUGGAGGGAUGGAGGUAGAUAUGUAUAGGGGUAAGGGGACAGGGAUACUGGAGUGAUGGAGGUAGAUAUGUAUAGGGGGAAGGGGACAGGGAUACUGGAGUGAUGGAGGUAGAUAUGUAUAGGGGUAAGGUGACUAUAUACAGGGUCAGUACCAUAUUAACAAUGUACAAGGAUACUGGAGUGAUGGAGGUAGAUAUGUAUAGGGGGAAGGGGACAGGGAUACUGGAGUGAUGGAGGUAGAUAUGUAUAGGGGGAAGGGGACAGGGAUACUGGAGUGAUGGAGGUAGAUAUGUAUAGGGGGAAGGUGACUAUAUACAGGGUCAGUACCAUAUUAACAAUGUACAGGGAUACUGGAGUGAUGGAGGUAGAUAUGUAUAGGGGUAAGGUGACUA
This 593-nucleotide long non-coding RNA is filed under the name Salmo salar (Atlantic salmon). RNAcentral's name for it is "lncRNA (ENSSSAG00000105796.1)". Lineage: Eukaryota; Metazoa; Chordata; Actinopteri; Salmoniformes; Salmonidae. The record is from RNAcentral.